CUACCACAUCCAAGGAAGGCAGCAGGCGCGCAAAUUACCCAAUCCCGACACGGGGAGGUAGUGACAAUAAAUACUGAUACAGGGCUCUCUUGGGUCUUGUAAUUGGAAUGAGUACAAUUUAAAUCCCUUAACGAGGAACAAUUGGAGGGCAAGUCUGGUGCCAGCAGCCGCGGUAAUUCCAGCUCCAAUAGCGUAUAUUAAAGUUGUUGCAGUUAAAAAGCUCGUAGUUGAACCUUGGGCCUGGCUGGCCGGUCCGCCUCACCGCGUGUACUGGUCCGGCCGGGCCUUUCCUUCUGGGGAACCUCAUGCCCUUCACUGGGCGUGUUGGGGAACCAGGACUUUUACUUUGAAAAAAUUAGAGUGUUCAAAGCAGGCCUUUGCUCGAAUACAUUAGCAUGGAAUAAUAGAAUAGGACGUGUGGUUCUAUUUUGUUGGUUUCUAGGACCGCCGUAAUGAUUAAUAGGGAUAGUCGGGGGCAUCAGUAUUCAAUCGUCAGAGGUGAAAUUCUUGGAUUGAUUGAAGACUAACUACUGCGAAAGCAUUUGCCAAGGAUGUUUUCAUUAAUCAGUGAACGAAAGUUAGGGGAUCGAAGACGAUCAGAUACCGUCGUAGUCUUAACCAUAAACUAUGCCGACUAGGGAUCGGACGGUGUUAGUAUUUUGACCCGUUCGGCACCUUACGAGAAAUCAAAGUUUUUGGGUUCUGGGGGAAGUAUGGUUGCAAAGCUGAAA
RNAcentral lists this ribosomal RNA (731 nucleotides) under uncultured Ascomycota. Its description in RNAcentral is "SSU rRNA". It matches the Rfam family "Eukaryotic small subunit ribosomal RNA", at positions 407 to 1142 of the family's 1831-position model. The record is from RNAcentral. Lineage: Eukaryota; Fungi; Ascomycota.